AGGAGGAUUAAUACCGCAUGUGGUCUUCGGAUCAAAGGUGGCUUCGGCUGCCGCUUCAGGAUGGGCUCGCGGCCUAUCAGCUUGUUGGUGAGGUAACGGCUCACCAAGGCGAUGACGGGUAGCUGGUCUGAGAGGACGAUCAGCCUCACUGGAACUGAGACACGGUCCAGACACCUACGGGUGGCAGCAGUCGAGAAUCAUUCACAAUGGGCGCAAGCCUGAUGGUGCAACGCCGCGUGGAGGAUGACGGCCUUCGGGUUGUAAACUCCUGUCAUCUGGGAGUAAUCCUUGUGCGUUAAUAGCGUGCAAGGUUGAUAGUACCAGAAGAGGAAGCGCCGGCUAACUCCGUGCCAGCAGCCGCGGUAAUACGGAGGGCGCAAGCGUUGUUCGGAAUCACUGGGCGUAAAGCGUGCGUAGGCGGCGCGGUAAGUCAGAUGUGAAAUCUCUGGGCUCAACCCGGAAACUGCAUCCGAUACUACCGUGCUGGAGUAAUGGAGGGGUAGCUGGAAUUCUCGGUGUAGCAGUGAAAUGCGUAGAUAUCGAGAGGAACACUCGUGGCGAAGGCGAGCUACUGGACAUUUACUGACGCUGAGGCACGAAGGCCAGGGUAGCGAAAGGGAUUAGAUAC
Molecule: ribosomal RNA, 628 nt
Filed under: uncultured cyanobacterium
Lineage: Bacteria; Bacillati; Cyanobacteriota
Description: bacterial SSU rRNA
Rfam family: Bacterial small subunit ribosomal RNA
Source: RNAcentral